RNAcentral lists this ribosomal RNA (350 nucleotides) under uncultured bacterium. RNAcentral's name for it is "bacterial SSU rRNA". It matches the Rfam family "Bacterial small subunit ribosomal RNA", at positions 28 to 350 of the family's 1533-position model. The record is from RNAcentral.
GAUGAACGCUAGCGGCAGGCUUAACACAUGCAAGUCGAGGGGUAUAGUUCUUCGGAAUUAGAGACCGGCGCACGGGUGCGUAACGCGUAUGCAAUCUACCUUCCACAAAGGGAUAGCCCAGAGAAAUUUGGAUUAAUACCUUAUAGUAAUACGACUUGGCAUCAAGAUGUAUUACUAUAAGGUAUAUAUCAUUCGCAUGUUUGGUAUAUUAAAGUUCCAACGGUAAAGAUGGGCAUGCGUCCUAUUAGCUAGAUGGUAAGGUAACGGCUUACCAUGGCAACGAUAGGUAGGGGUCCUGAGAGGGAGAUCCCCCACACUGGUACUGAGACACGGACCAGACUCGUGAUGCU